AGGUUGAGCGCGACUCGUGCGGCACGUUUCUUCAGUAUGAAUGAGCUCUCUGAUGGGAGAUGUUAGUAGAGGGGUGGAGCCACCUUCCUUCAUCUGUCACUGCCGAACCGGGAACGUGCGCUUUGUGUAAAAGACUAACACUGAAAAGAUGGCAGCUGUGGUUGGAAGAAGAAGCUUUUCAGCAUUGGAGAUGCCAUGAGCGAUUUCCUGGCAAGGUGAAGUCUAAAUGGGGCCAUAGAAACAGCACACAGACAUGAUUCACACCUACGAUCUCUGGAAUGCCAAGGGGUCCUGAAGAUUCAAAUGGAUCCCAGCAUGUAGAAGCGUUCUCUGCCAUGUUAACCAUAACAAAUCUGCUAAUGAUUAUAUCGGAUGAAAACUAGGCCAACACGAAACAUCAGCGUGUAUGUGAGUAUUAAAAAGAGACUUUUUUCAGGUUGCCGUACAGCAGUCCUCUCUUCUUUUGAACAUCAGCGUGAACAAAGCGGUCUAAAUUAGACACAAGGCACGUCAGCGUCUCUCUCUGCAGACCCUGCGUGAGGGUGCCAGUGUGCAAUCUCCAGCUUAAAUGACAGAGUAAUAAAGGUCCUGCAAUUUUAUGCUCGCAGACGAGCCCUGCUUUUUGAAUUAAGCAUCUCUGAUGGAGAAAUAAUACUUCUGGCUCUCCUCCGCUAUCACUCUCUUGUGAUUUCGUGGUUCUUUUACAUAUUCAGCCGCCGUACUUACGCCUGUCACCUCUCCGCUGAAUAUGUGAAGGUGUCUGAAACGCUUAAGGAUCAUGUGUCAUAAUUUCAUCCCUCUCUGCCUGUGUUGUCGUGGAAAAAUGCGAAUCGAAUGCGAAAAAUAUUACCUUUAUACGCUCAUCAUUUGUAUGCCAUUUCCACACUUUUUUUCUACUUGCGCUUGACACGCGCACACAGACCCAACAUCAAUCAAGAAACAGAUUCGUAUGUGCUGCCUGGCUUCAUCUGGAGUCACUUAAUCAAAUUCUGGAUCACAGUUGGUGGGUCAGCCAAAGGAGCGUGAGCGAGGGGAAGCCAGUUGAUGAGCUCCAUGCCCUGGGUCUUCUAAAUCCCUCUAGUGCUCAAAUUCAAUUUGAGACGCUGGGGCGAAAAGCAUGUUGGGGUCUCCUGUUGCUCUGGCCCUUUAGUUUGAAAUAGGUUCACGGUUCUCAUCUAAAAACUAGUCACCUGCAUAGACCCAGGCACAGUGGCGCAUAUGAGUGAGGCUCUUGAGGGAUAGCUAAGUUUAUCCAACAGUCCGCUGGGUGGCCUGGCAUGCUAACAACAACAUAUGACAUUCCUCACGAUGCAGAGAGUGGGAGAGGUAGUCCAUAUGAGCUUGUAGAGGGCAGUCCUCUGCAUGAAAUAUUCACCAUGCCAGCAGUCGUUCGCACGCAGACGUCUCGCAGACCACAUACGCACAUAUUUCCGCCAAAGCAGAUGGUUUUGGAGCACAAAGAGCCUCCGCAAGCGUGCGAUUGUGAUACUGCAAUGAAGAAUAACAGAAUUAUGCGAAGCUUGAUGGGGAACAUCCAGCUAGGCAAACCUGCAGAUCAAUUAUUGAAGUACACCGGCAAAAGAAAAGUAAACAGAUAUGAAUCUUUUAGUGGGCAAUGUCAAGUUUUACACUGUGGAAAAUGUGAACUGAAAGAAGAAGACAACGAAGCACCAAGCGAUGGCACUACAUAACAUUGACUGCAGAAGCCAAAGUGCGCUAAAGAUUCAAGUGACCACAUGUGCAUGGACACAGACCUGCAUCUGCUGUUAUAGUUAAGGCCAGCCAGUGGUAGCAGCGCGUCACUGUUAGCACAGCAUGAUGAGCUGGGACUUUCACGUCAGUCCACGUGUGAAUUUGUGUGAAUGUGUGCUAUAUAAAGAUCAGUCAGCUAUAAAUAAGAUGGGUCGGGCCUAACGCAUGCAUGUAGUAAGUAACAUCCAGAGUAUGCAGCAUAUGACACUGUUGUUUUUAUGCUCAGCUUUAUGUCUUUAUACAAUACGAUAUGAAACUAUAUUUGACGACAUGAUGAAUUUUAAUAAAAUUAGGAGCCAUCCAUAAAAGCCAACUAAAUAUAAUAACACAUGAUUUUGCAAUUGCAAUUCGCAAUUUAUAUGAUAAAAUAUUAUGUUUUUUAUGCUUACUUUACUUUACCUUUUGGUCAAAUGAUUGACCUUGAUGAGCAUAUAAAACUUUUGUAAACAUCAUCUUGGUUUGUGAGGGUGUGAGUAUCAUGAAAAUCUUUUUUGAUCCCAAGGCACCUCUAUCUUAAUCUCUCCUUUUAUCUUCCAUAACGCUCUUUCUUUCCUUGAACUCCUGAACUCAUGUUUACAAAAUGUAACCGGAAUAUCUGAGCGGUCUAACAUAACGGCGCAUGCUGUAUAUUAGAGUAUGUUUAAAUAAAUGCUUUCAUAUCUCUCUGACAAUGUCUUUCUGAUGCACUGCCGGUGGGUAAAACAGACACACACAGAUUCAUUGUGACUUAUGUGAUGGUGAAAAACAUUACUCGGUAACAGCAGCGAUUAGUUUUAUAUGUAUAAUUUAGUUUAUGGCGAUUAGAAUCCUCGACUUACCUUGUCUUGUCUGUUUAUGUGUGUAUGUGUACUCUAGAAGUGUGAAACUCUAAAUGAUAUGUGAUAUAAGAAGGCCUCCUAACACCCUGCCUAACACCAAUGACUUGUUUCUAUGGAUACAGUGAAGUCACCGAACGCAAACAUGGGAGUGUUUGAUUGUGGGAAAUAGGCGUUACGUCAUUCGUGUAAUAAGAAAAGUGAACGGAUAUGCCAUCUGGCACCACCUAAUCCAUAGUUGAUCCAUAUUAUACU
This is a long non-coding RNA of Puntigrus tetrazona (Sumatra barb), 2822 nucleotides long. RefSeq lists it as uncharacterized. NCBI's taxonomy places the organism in Eukaryota, Metazoa, Chordata, Actinopteri, Cypriniformes, Cyprinidae. The transcript has 4 exons. The record is from RefSeq and is a predicted model, not a curated record.